GACAUUUUGAAAGCUUCGACAUUUUGUGUUUGUUGUCGAUCUGCUGUGGGGAGGAAAAGAGAACUGCUAACUGUAUGUUGAUCUUCAUAAGUUUACCUUCCUAAGGCUAUACUAGGCAAAAUUAAUACGUGGAAAGACUGGUUUUAGCCCUCAACAUGAACAACAAUAUGAGUUAUGGCUAUUCAUCUCCAUCCUCAUUUUCCUCAUUUUCGUCACCUUAUUCUUCAACCCCUAGCAUAAGAAUGCCACCACGACCUAGGUUUGCAUACUCUGGCCCCUCGUCAUAUCCUCGUCCAAGGUCUUCCGCAAGCAAACCAAAUCCAGACUCCCUUAGUGACAGCAUGGUUAACAACUAUGGUGGCUCCACAAAUCGCAUGGAUAGCUCAUUUGAUAGCAGAAAUAGUUUUUCUAACACUACUCUCGCAUCAAAUGACAAUUCUACUUACUUUUCUUGUAAUGAAUCAUUUCUCUCACCUAAUCAAGGGAAUGAAGACAGUUAUGAACCAAAUAUUUCUUUGCAGUAUCCUUCUUUUGAAGGGGACAGUGCUAUUAUGAGGCCAAAGAAUGGCGAUUU
This is a long non-coding RNA of Uloborus diversus, 574 nucleotides long. RefSeq lists it as uncharacterized. The record is from RefSeq and is a predicted model, not a curated record. The transcript is spliced from 3 exons. Lineage: Eukaryota; Metazoa; Arthropoda; Arachnida; Araneae; Uloboridae.